RNA transcript from Hevea brasiliensis (rubber tree), 1579 nucleotides. RefSeq lists it as uncharacterized. Lineage: Eukaryota; Viridiplantae; Streptophyta; Magnoliopsida; Malpighiales; Euphorbiaceae. The transcript is spliced from 6 exons. The record is from RefSeq and is a predicted model, not a curated record.
AGGGAGAGUGACGGAGGAAGCAGAGAGAAAGAAAGAAAAAAAAAAAAAAUAAGAGAAAGAGAGAAGAGAGAGAAAGACGGAAUCAGACAGAGAGAGAAGGGCAAAAAAACUUUAGAGAGAGAUAGAGAGAGAUCGGGCGGUUAAAAAAUGACAGAGCAAGAAAUAUCACAAGCCUUGGAAUCACUUCUCCAAGAUUGCUCCCGAUCAUCGUCAAACCCUAAUUCCGCCUCUACUCAACUCACUUCUCUAAACGCCGUCGUUCAGCACCUCCAGUCCAAGCUCGGCCUCGACCUCUCUCACAAGGCCGAUUUCAUUCGAGCCCAGAUCCAACAAUUCCUUUUCCAGCCGCCGCUGCCGCCUCCACAGUCGCAGCACCCUCACCCUCCUCCUCCUCCUCACCGAAAUGACCAUGCUGCCCUUCAACAAAAUCCUAAUUUCUAUCCCGUUCCCGCCCCCACUGUCUCCUCUGCCUUUCACUCUUCCUCUACGCAACCGCUUGCUUCCGUCAAACCCGAAACGCUUUCGGUAUCGAGCACCGAGGUUUCAAAACAGAGUGGUCCUAAUAAAGCUAAAAGAAGAGGUGGGCCAGGCGGUCUUAACAAACUUUGUGGUGUUUCACCUCAACUUGAGACUAUUGUUGGGCAGCCAGCUCUUCCAAGGACCGAGAUCGUGAAACAGCUGUGGGCUUACAUUAGGAAAAACAAUCUUCAAGACCCAAGUAACAAAAGGAAAAUAAUUUGCAAUGAUGAGCUGCGCUUGGUGUUUGAGACCGACUGUACGGAUAUGUUCAAGAUGAACAAGCUGCUGGCUAAACAUAUCAUUCCUCUCGAACCCACCAAACAGCUGGGUUCUAAGAAGCAAAAGAUGGAUGAGGAGACUGCAGAGAAACAAACUAUAUCUGCUCCUUCCGUAGCAAUUUCUGAAGGACUUGCAAAUUUUUUUGGUGUUGGCGUGAAAGAAAUGCUCCAAUCAGAGGUCUUCACACGAUUGUGGGAAUACAUAAAUGUCAACAAUUUGGAGGAUCCCCGUAAUCCAAUGGUGAUACUAUGUGAUGCAAAACUUCAAGAACUCUUUGGUUGCCAAAGCCUUCCUGCCUCGAGAAUACCAGAAGUUUUGGCACGUCAUCAUAUAUUUAGAACAUGAUAGUGGCUAAUCACAGCUGGCUGGUUAGUGGAUAUGAGGAUUCCAGUGGCUUGUGGAUUCAUUGACAACAUUUGGUGUUAACACCUGCAAUCCAGCAUCGUGUCUGAGAAGCAAAAUAGUAGAUGUGGUUUCUUCAUUUAAACGGCAUGUUCUUAUUAAGUAAUGAAUGAAGUAGUGCAAUGGUGUGACAGGCGACAACAAGUUCUGAAGUGAAAUUGGUGUUGCAAGCUAAGGGUUCUGAUUUAUCUAAAUUGUUUUCAUAGGUCAGAUUGGGCAUUGGGAUUUUCUAACAACUGUAGUAUGUAUAUGAUAGGACUGUAGAAAAAUAAUGUUGUCCAGAUGAUGAUUUCAACUCGGUACAGAUAUGGAAAGUUGUAUUUAUUUUGUAAAUGUGUGUAAUAGUUGCUUGUGAAAUGGUAUUUGCCUGAUUUUUAGA